UGCACAGCACCAGAGGUAUGGGAGUGACCUAACUGGCACUGGACACAGCUACUCUUCUGGAUUAAGAGGCAAGCUGCAGAAAGCAAGAAUAUCAUUCUUGAGGACACCACUACCAAACAUGAUGUCCUUGGGGACUGGAAGGAGGUGCUCAACCUUCAGGGGACAAACUCCCAGCUUUAAAAGGGAAGGGGGAGCUGCUACUUGGAAGCAUGUCAACUAUGAUGAAUAUAUCAGGACUGUGUGAGCCUACAGGUAUACAGUCACUCUGCAGAGGCCAAAUUACUGUAGUAGUGGUCUGUCUGUAUUCUGCAGAUACUGUUCUGCUAUUGACUGGACAAAGACUAUAGAAGAGCCAACAUAAGGAAAAAAGAAGAAGUGACAGCUAAUGAGAAUCUGGGCAACCCUGCAUCUGGCGUACAGCCUGCAAUUCAGCACAAGAGGCAACC
Molecule: long non-coding RNA, 446 nt
Organism: Alligator mississippiensis (American alligator)
Lineage: Eukaryota; Metazoa; Chordata; Crocodylia; Alligatoridae
Exons: 5
Source: RefSeq, a predicted model, not a curated record